RNAcentral lists this long non-coding RNA (1175 nucleotides) under Homo sapiens (human). Its description in RNAcentral is "HSALNT0282802". Lineage: Eukaryota; Metazoa; Chordata; Mammalia; Primates; Hominidae. The record is from RNAcentral.
GGCCAGAGGCCCCAGCUGGGAGGACCCGGCUGGGAGGACCUGCCCUGCGAGGAGGAGUGGAUCAGGGUCCCACUUAAAGAAGCAGCCUGGCCACGCCUUGACAAAACAGCUGUGUUGUGGUGGGGAACUGCCUCUGCCCCUGUCGCCUUAGACUCUCCAAAGCGCGCAGGCUGGACAGCUAAGUCCUGGUCCAACCAACCCAGGUGGCAGCCCUCCCCUCCCCCAGGCACUCCGUCCCAGGGAGAAAUCAGAGCUCUGUGCCUAAUACCUGAGGACGGGUGUGGCUGGAGUGCCUGGCUGGGAGGUCCCACUCAGUAAGGAGGAAUGGAUGGGGCCCUGCUUAAAGAGGAAGCCUGGCCACAAUCUGGCAAGGCUGCUGUGCCGCGCUGCUGGGGGUACCCUUCCUCCUCUGGACCAUUUGGACUCUCCAAAGCCUGCAGGCUGGAAUGGCUGAGUCAUUCAACCAACACAGGUGGCGGCCUUCCCCUCCCUCAGGCACUCUGUCCCAGGGAGAGAUCAGAGUUCUGUCCCUAAUAUGUGCGGGGGAUGUGGCUGGAGGGCCUGGCUGGGAGGUCCCACCCAGUGAAGAAGAAUGGAUCCUGUGCCACAUUAAGAAGCAGUCUGGCCACGAUCUGGCAAAGCUGCUGUGGUGCUCUGUUUUGGGGACUCUUCCUUGUCUGGGCCGUUUGGACUUUCCAAAGCCCACAGGCUGGAACAGCUGAGUCGACCAAACAACAGAGAUGACGCCUGCCCAUCCUCAAGGUGGCUCAGUCUGGUCUCAGGCCCCACCUCCAGCAUUCAACAUGACAUUUGGGUGAAGACAAAUAUCCAAACUAUAUCAGAGUCCAACCUAGAAGAAUAAUGAAGAGACGUCCCAGGAUGACAGCUGCACCGCAGGCCUACAGAGCAAUCAGUCCAAAUUGGAACAGGAAGAUGGAGGACUCCAGGAAGAAGGAUGUAAAUGGAGGAAUGGUGACUGAUGGAGCAUGGUGGAGGAAGCCACAGCCUGGGGUACGCAUGGAGGUGAUGCUUCAGAGGAAGGAGUUGCUCUUUCUCUGCAGGAGCCUGGAGCGUCUUGGUCUUGACAAUGCCAGGGCAGUACACUGAAAGGCUGUAACAUUGGAUGCAUGCUCCACUCCUCUCCCUCCCUCCUGAGGAAGAAGUCUCGGGGUCCC